Molecule: ribosomal RNA, 498 nt
Filed under: uncultured bacterium
Lineage: Bacteria
Description: partial 16S ribosomal RNA
Rfam family: Bacterial small subunit ribosomal RNA
Source: RNAcentral
AUUGAACGCUGGCGGCAUGCCUUACACAUGCAAGUCGAACGGUAACGCGGGGCAACCUGGCGACGAGUGGCGAACGGGUGAGUAAUAUAUCGGAACGUGCCCAGUAGUGGGGGAUAGCCCGGCGAAAGCCGGAUUAAUACCGCAUACGACCUACGGGUGAAAGGGGGGGAUCGCAAGACCUCUCGCUAUUGGAGCGGCCGAUAUCAGAUUAGGUAGUGGGUGGGGUAAAAGCCCACCAAGCCAAGGAUCUGUAGCUGGUCUGAGAGGACGACCCGCCACACUGGGACUGCGAAACGGCCCAGACUCCUACGGGAGGAAGAAGUGGGGAAUUUUGGACAAUGGGCGAAAGCCUGAUCCAGCCAUGCCGCGUGCGGGAAGAAGGCCUUCGGGUUGUAAACCGCUUUUGUCAGGGAAGAAAUCCUUUGAGCUAAUACCUCGGGGGGAUGACGGUACCUGAAGAAUAAGCACCGGCUAACUACGUGCCAGCCGCCGCAGUAA